UACGAAGGGGGCUAGCGUUGCUCGGAAUCACUGGGCGUAAAGGGUGCGUAGGCGGGUUUUUAAGUCAGGGGUGAAAUCCUGGAGCUCAACUCCAGAACUGCCUUUGAUACUGAAGAUCUCGAGUCCGGGAGAGGUGAGUGGAACUGCGAGUGUAGAGGUGAAAUUCGUAGAUAUCGAGAGGAACACCGGUGGCGAAGGCGGCCAACUGGACGAAGACUGACGCUGAGACACGAAAGCGUGGGGAGCAAACAGG
RNAcentral lists this ribosomal RNA (253 nucleotides) under uncultured bacterium. Its description in RNAcentral is "partial 16S ribosomal RNA". It matches the Rfam family "Bacterial small subunit ribosomal RNA", at positions 524 to 776 of the family's 1533-position model. The record is from RNAcentral.